Molecule: ribosomal RNA, 422 nt
Filed under: uncultured bacterium
Lineage: Bacteria
Description: bacterial SSU rRNA
Rfam family: Bacterial small subunit ribosomal RNA
Source: RNAcentral
UCAGGAAUAUUGGACAAUGGAUGGAAAUCUGAUCCAGCCAUGCCGCGUGCAGGAAGACGGCCCUAUGGGUUGUAAACUGCUUUUGUAUGGGAGCAAUAAGGACUACGUGUAGUUUGAUGAGAGUACCAUACGAAUAAGCAUCGGCUAACUCCGUGCCAGCAGCCGCGGUAAUACGGAGGAUGCGAGCGUUAUCCGGAUUUAUUGGGUUUAAAGGGUGCGUAGGCGGCGAUAUAAGUCAGUGGCGAAAUAUUUCGGCUUAACCGAGAGACUGCCAUUGAUACUGUGUUGCUAGAAUAUGGUUGCUGUGAGUGGAAUGUGUGGUGUAGCGGUGAAAUGCUUAGAUAUCACACAGAAUAUCGAUUGCGAAGGCAGCUCACAAAGCCAUUAUUGACGCUGAGGCACGAAAGUGUGGGGAUCAAACA